AGAGAUCAUCAUCUCAGCAAGAGGUCGGUUGCUCUUUGUCACGAGUGUGAUCGGAGAGGUACACAAGGAAAGAAGUGGGAAAGGGAUUUGGGUUUUGAUCACAAGGUUUUUAUUAAGCGGUUUGUAUCAAAUCUCUUCUCAGCUUUCAUCACCAACUCUAAAAAUUUGGGUUCGUCAUCCGCAUGGGUAAUUAGUUGAGCGGAUUCUGGGUGUUUUCUCAUCUUUGGUUUUGGGUGACAAGCUAUUUAGUUGUACCCCGGAAACUCAUAGAGACAGAGAGGAGGCAAAGUUAAGAGAAAAGAACAGGAGAAGAAGACAACGACGUUCAUAGGCUAUCAGUUCAGUUGUUUUUGUCCUUUCAACACAUCGGCCUUUGGAAUGUUCAGAUAGACAGAGAGUUCAAGGUCUGCAUCAAGUUGGCGAACAAACCUGACCUGCAUCAACCAAUUUAAUUUGUAGACGCCGUAUGUACAUUUUGGUUCCUUUCAAAUAAUAACUUAUACACAUUGUCAUGCUGAUAGGCACUUUAAGGAUAAUUUUAGAUAUAGCUGUAGUGAUAUAAAUGAGAAUGUCCUGAUUUGUUGCUGCAUUUUUUUUGGCGGUAGC
This 606-nucleotide long non-coding RNA is filed under the name Rosa chinensis. RNAcentral describes it as "sRNA RchiOBHm_Chr1g0344691". The record is from RNAcentral. Lineage: Eukaryota; Viridiplantae; Streptophyta; Magnoliopsida; Rosales; Rosaceae.